GAUGAACGCUGGCGGCGUGCCUAAUACAUGCGAGUCGAGCGAACAGAUGAGGAGCUUGCUCCUCUGACGUUAGCGGCGGACGGGUGAGUAACACGUGGAUAACCUACCUAUAAGACUGGGAUAACUUCGGGAAACCGGAGCUAAUACCGGAUAAUAUAUUGAACCGCAUGGUUCAAUAGUGAAAGACGGUUUUGCUGUCACUUAUAGAUGGGUCCGCGCCGCAUUAGCUAGUUGGUAAGGUAACGGCUUACCAAGGCAACGAUGCGUAGCCGACCUGAGAGGGUGAUCGGCCACACUGGAACUGAGACACGGUCCAGACUCCUACGGGAGGCAGCAGUAGGGAAUCUUCCGCAAUGGGCGAAAGCCUGACGGAGCAACGCCGCGUGAGUGAUGAAGGUCUUCGGAUCGUAAAACUCUGUUAUUAGGGAAGAACAAAUGUGUAAGUAACUAUGCACGUCUUGACGGUACCUAAUCAGAAAGCCACGGCUAACUACGUG
RNAcentral lists this ribosomal RNA (497 nucleotides) under uncultured bacterium. RNAcentral describes it as "partial 16S ribosomal RNA". It matches the Rfam family "Bacterial small subunit ribosomal RNA", at positions 28 to 507 of the family's 1533-position model. The record is from RNAcentral.